Molecule: long non-coding RNA, 1159 nt
Organism: Ctenopharyngodon idella (grass carp)
Lineage: Eukaryota; Metazoa; Chordata; Actinopteri; Cypriniformes; Xenocyprididae
Exons: 2
Source: RefSeq, a predicted model, not a curated record
UUUUAUUUAUUUUUUUUAUUAUUAUUUUCAAUACUUUGCAUUUUAAAAUAAACUUCUAAAUGUCUGUUCAGUGGUCGCUAUGUAACUGACAGAAGACACAAUAUUAAAAUUGUGAUAGACAGCAGUUACAAAUGAUGUACAAAAUACACGUAGCCUACUCAUCUUUGCACCAAUAAAAUGUGCAACACUUUAUGUUUUACUACCAAAUUAUAUGUAAUAUCUAAUUAAUUUAACUUUGAGAGGAUACAAGACCUGAUUUUCGUCUCAGCAGGGAGGACAUCAGAGAACUCCUGACAGUGCUGGAGAUGGACAGGCAUCAUGGGUAGAGGCCGACUCUGGAAACCCUGGUGAUCCUGUUUUGGUUGGCAACUGGGACAUCCUACAGCUUAGUUUGCAGGGCCUUUGAAUGCCCCUACCAACUGUUCCUAUUGUUAUAUUUAUAAUGUAUGAAAAACUAUAAAAUCAGCCACUUUUCUUUACAUUCACAACACUGGCAUACCAUCAGAGUAUGCACAUGAAUAUGGAUCUAGAGCUGACUUGAUACACCUGAUUUACAAUAUUGCUACACAUUCUUUCUUAUAACAACCAAAUUAUUGAUCUCAUUUUACCUGCAGGUGGUUGCAGCUUGUGCAAUAUUGCACAACAUAUGCAUUGGUGUAGGUGACCUCUUGGAAGAUGGAGAUGUUCCACAGGACAACAAUCAGCCUCUCCGAGGAAAUAAUGAUGACAGCCGGAGCGGAGCAGCAUGGAUCAUGACUACUUUUUUCAGUCCUGAAUCCUGAUACAGAGACUUUUUUCUUUUUUUUUUUUCAAGUCAAAGUGACCUGUGACUUUUUUGUGUUCUUCAGUUAAUAUUAAACUUUACUUGCCUUGACUUGUAAUAAUUGCUUUAAGGAGCUCAUUGAUUCGGCCUAAAAUAAUUCAUGUUAGCUAACUGCAUGAUUUUUAUUAUCUUAAACUGUACAUUUCUGAAAUGGACAUUACUUUCACAGUCACCUCUGAUAACAGAUCACUCUAAAUUGUGUAGACGUGUAUUUUCUGUAAAGCUGCUUUGAAACAAUAUGUAUUGUGAAAUAAAUGUGAAUUUACACUGUUUUAAUCUGUUUAUUUAAUAUUGAACAUAAAGGUUUAUGCAAUAAAGUAUGAUGUAUAAUUUAAA